GAUGAAGAACGUAGCGAAAUGCGAUAAGUAGUGUGAAUUGCAGAAUUCAGUGAAUCAUCGAAUCUUUGAACGCACAUUGCGCCCCUUGGUAUUCCAUGGGGCAUGCCUGUUCGAGCGUCAUUUGUACCCUCAAGCUAUGCUUGGUGUUGGGUGUUUGUCCACUCCUUUGCGAUUGGACUCGCCUUAAAGACAUUGGCAGCCAGUGUAUUGGUCUUGAAGCGCAGCACAUUUUGCGAUUCUUGCUGAUAAUCACUAGCGUCCAGUAAGCCUAUUUUAACACUUUUGACCUCGGAUCAGGUAGGGAUACCCGCUGAACUUAAGCAUAUCAAUAAGCGGAGGA
RNAcentral lists this unclassified non-coding RNA (340 nucleotides) under soil metagenome. RNAcentral's name for it is "partial contains 5.8S ribosomal RNA, internal transcribed spacer 2, and large subunit ribosomal RNA". The stretch from base 1 to 120 matches the Rfam family "5.8S ribosomal RNA", at positions 35 to 154 of the family's 154-position model. The record is from RNAcentral.